GAGUUUGAUCAUGGCUCAGGACGAACGCUGGCGGCGUGCUUAACACAUGCAAGUCGAGCGUGCAGAGGACUUCGGUCCGAAGCAAGCGGCGGACGGGUGAGUAACGCGUGAACAAUCUGUCCCAGACAGGGGGAUAACACUCUGAAAAGGGUGCUAAUACCGCAUAAGACCACGUUCUCGCAUGGGAAUGGGGUAAAAGAUUUAUCGGUUUGGGGUGAGUUCGCGUCUGAUUAGCUAGUUGGUGAGGUAACGGCCCACCAAGGCGACGAUCAGUAGCCGAUCUGAGAGGAUGACCGGCCACAUUGGAACUGAGACACGGUCCAAACUCCUACGGGAGGCAGCAGUGGGGAAUAUUGGGCAAUGGGCGAAAGCCUGACCCAGCAACGCCGCGUGAGGGAAGAAGGUUUUCGGAUUGUAAACCUCUGUCCUAAGGGAAGAAGGAAGUGACGGUACCUUAGGAGGAAGCCCCGGCUAACUACGUGCCAGCAGCCGCGGUAAUACGUAGGGGGCGAGCGUUGUCCGGAAUGACUGGGCGUAAAGGGCGUGUAGGCGGCCUGUUAAGUUAGAAGUGAAAGUCCUGAUUUCAAGUUGGGAAUUGCUUUUAAUACUGAUGGGCUUGAGUGCAGAAGAGGUAAGUGGAAUUCCCAGUGUAGCGGUGAAAUGCGUAGAGAUUGGGAGGAACACCAGUGGCGAAGGCGACUUACUGGGCUGUAACUGACGCUGAGGCGCGAAAGCGUGGGGAGCGAACAGGAUUAGAUACCCUGGUAGUCCACGCGGUAAACGAUGAAUGCUAGGUGUAGGGGGUAUCGACCCCUCCUGUGCCGGAGUAAACACAAUAAGCAUUCCGCCUGGGGAGUACGGCCGCAAGGUUGAAACUCAAAGGAAUUGACGGGGGCC
RNAcentral lists this ribosomal RNA (897 nucleotides) under uncultured bacterium. RNAcentral's name for it is "bacterial SSU rRNA". It matches the Rfam family "Bacterial small subunit ribosomal RNA", at positions 9 to 921 of the family's 1533-position model. The record is from RNAcentral.